RNAcentral lists this ribosomal RNA (512 nucleotides) under uncultured bacterium. RNAcentral's name for it is "bacterial SSU rRNA". It matches the Rfam family "Bacterial small subunit ribosomal RNA", at positions 33 to 518 of the family's 1533-position model. The record is from RNAcentral.
ACGCUGGCGGCGUGCCUAAUACAUGCAAGUCGAACGGUCUUUCUAUGGAAGCUUGCUUCCACUGAGAAGAUAGUGGCGAACGGGUGAGUAACACGUGGGUAACCUGCCCAUAAGAGGGGGAUAACAUCCGGAAACGGGUGCUAAUACCGCAUAGUUUUCUUGAUCGCAUGAUCGGGAAAGGAAAGACGGCCUUUGUGCUGUCGCUUAUGGAUGGACCCGCGGCGUAUUAGUUAGUUGGUGAGGUAACGGCUCACCAAGACGAUGAUACGUAGCCGACCUGAGAGGGUGAUCGGCCACAUUGGGACUGAGACACGGCCCAAACUCCUACGGGAGGCAGCAGUAGGGAAUCUUCCGCAGUGGACGAAAGUCUGACGGAGCAACGCCGCGUGAGUGAAGAAAGGUUUUCGGAUCGUAAAACUCUGUUGUCAGAGAAGAACAAGUUGGAGAGUAACUGCUCCAGCCUUGACGGUAUCUGACCAGAAAGCCACGGCUAACUACGUGCCAGCAGCCGC